This 465-nucleotide ribosomal RNA is filed under the name Vreelandella stevensii. Its description in RNAcentral is "partial 16S ribosomal RNA". It matches the Rfam family "Bacterial small subunit ribosomal RNA", at positions 338 to 795 of the family's 1533-position model. Lineage: Bacteria; Pseudomonadati; Pseudomonadota; Gammaproteobacteria; Oceanospirillales; Halomonadaceae. The record is from RNAcentral.
CCUACGGGUGGCAGCAGUGGGGAAUAUUGGACAAUGGGCGAAAGCCUGAUCCAGCCAUGCCGCGUGUGUGAAGAAGGCCUUCGGGUUGUAAAGCACUUUCAGUGGGGAAGAAAGCCUUGGGGCUAAUACCCUCGAGGAAGGACAUUACCCACAGAAGAAGCACCGGCUAACUCCGUGCCAGCAGCCGCGGUAAUACGGAGGGUGCGAGCGUUAAUCGGAAUUACUGGGCGUAAAGCGCGCGUAGGCGGUCUGAUAAGCCGGUUGUGAAAGCCCCGGGCUCAACCUGGGAACGGCAUCCGGAACUGUCAGGCUAGAGUGCAGGAGAGGAAGGUAGAAUUCCCGGUGUAGCGGUGAAAUGCGUAGAGAUCGGGAGGAAUACCAGUGGCGAAGGCGGCCUUCUGGACGGACACUGACGCUGAGGUGCGAAAGCGUGGGGAGCAAACAGGAUUAGAUACCCCAGUAGUC